Molecule: transfer RNA, 77 nt
Filed under: Flavobacteriaceae bacterium
Lineage: Bacteria; Pseudomonadati; Bacteroidota; Flavobacteriia; Flavobacteriales; Flavobacteriaceae
Also listed under: 3 other names
Description: tRNA-Arg
Rfam family: tRNA
About the family: Transfer RNA (tRNA) molecules are approximately 80 nucleotides in length. Their secondary structure includes four short double-helical elements and three loops (D, anti-codon, and T loops).
Source: RNAcentral
GGCCGCGUGGCGCAACUGAAUAGCGCAUCAGAUUUCGGCUCUGAGGGUUGGGGGUUUGAAUCCCUUCGCGGUCACAA